CCUACGGGAGGCAGCAGUGGGGAAUUUUGGACAAUGGGCGCAAGCCUGAUCCAGCCAUGCCGCGUGCAGGAAGAAGGCCUUCGGGUUGUAAACUGCUUUUGUACGGAGCGAAAAGCCCCUGGCGAAUAACCGGGGGUCAUGACGGUACCGUAAGAAUAAGCACCGGCUAACUACGUGCCAGCAGCCGCGGUAAUA
Molecule: ribosomal RNA, 195 nt
Filed under: uncultured bacterium
Lineage: Bacteria
Description: partial 16S rRNA
Rfam family: Bacterial small subunit ribosomal RNA
Source: RNAcentral